Long non-coding RNA from Thamnophis elegans (Western terrestrial garter snake), 152 nucleotides. RefSeq lists it as uncharacterized. NCBI's taxonomy places the organism in Eukaryota, Metazoa, Chordata, Lepidosauria, Squamata, Natricidae. The transcript has 2 exons. The record is from RefSeq and is a predicted model, not a curated record.
UGCAGGAUCUAGAGGAUCCGUGGCGGGAGGAAGAGAAGCCGAGUGGUUUCUGGGCUCCUGCAAGAGUCGAAGCAGCAGCAGCUGGUGGAUGAAGAGGAUACUAAUAAGAGCACUCCGGACAACUAGGAAUAACCAGCAACUUUGAAAAUUAA